Molecule: ribosomal RNA, 253 nt
Filed under: uncultured bacterium
Lineage: Bacteria
Description: partial 16S ribosomal RNA
Rfam family: Bacterial small subunit ribosomal RNA
Source: RNAcentral
UACGAAGGGGGCUAGCGUUGCUCGGAAUCACUGGGCGUACAGCGCACGUAGGCGGCUUGUUAAGUCAGGGGUGAAAUCCUGGAGCUCAACUCCAGAACUGCCUUUGAUACUGGCGAGCUUGAGUUCGGGAGAGGUGAGUGGAACUGCGAGUGUAGAGGUGGAAUUCGUAGAUAUUCGCAAGAACACCAGUGGCGAAGGCGGCUCACUGGCCCGAUACUGACGCUGAGGUGCGAAAGCGUGGGGAGCAAACAGG